ACUUAUUGAUCGUUGGUGAACCACUCCCUAUGAAUGGUACUGACGUUUCCUCUAACGAGACUAGAUUCGCAAUUGAUUAUAUGGACAUCAGUGGCAAAGUACGAUCAUGGUCAUUAGUUUUCACUGUUAUUGUAGGGGCCAUAGUGGUGAAGUAUGGCCAUGGUCAUUAGUUUCCUAUUUAAAUCAUCUAAUAUCAAAAUUGAUCUGUUUGUCCAUUCAUAGUGGUAGUUGGAGAUUCCUUCUACCCUCAGCUGAUAUA
RNAcentral lists this long non-coding RNA (259 nucleotides) under Carica papaya (papaya). RNAcentral's name for it is "long non-coding RNA (CPAP_LNC000036)". The record is from RNAcentral. Lineage: Eukaryota; Viridiplantae; Streptophyta; Magnoliopsida; Brassicales; Caricaceae.